AUUGAACGCUGGCGGCAGGCCUAACACAUGCAAGUCGAGCGGAGCGGCGGACGGGUGCGUAAUGCCUAGGAAUCUGCCUGGUAGUGGCGGAUAACGUCCGGUAACGGGCGCUUAUACCGCAUUCUAUCAGAUCUGCCUAGGUCGUCUUGGCUAGUUGGUGGGGUAAAGGCCUACCAAGGCGACGAUCCGUAACUAGUCUGAGGGGAUGAUCAGUCACACUGGAACUGAGACACGGUCCAGACUCCUACGGGAGGCAGCAGUGGGGAAAAUUGGACAAUGGGCGAAAGCCUGAACCAGCCAUGCCGCGUGUGUGAAGAAGGUCUUCGGAUUGUAAAGCACUUUAAGUUGGGAGGCGGUACCAAAAGAAUAAGCACCGGCUAACUUCGUGCCAGCAGCCGCGGUAAUAA
Molecule: ribosomal RNA, 407 nt
Filed under: uncultured bacterium
Lineage: Bacteria
Description: partial 16S ribosomal RNA
Rfam family: Bacterial small subunit ribosomal RNA
Source: RNAcentral